This 1617-nucleotide ribosomal RNA is filed under the name Triticum aestivum (bread wheat). Its description in RNAcentral is "partial small subunit ribosomal RNA". Lineage: Eukaryota; Viridiplantae; Streptophyta; Magnoliopsida; Poales; Poaceae. The record is from RNAcentral.
AUGGCCGACGACGGGCUCGACCGGUGGCGCGGCUUCUUCCGGGGCGCCGGCGUCAGCAUCUGCGAGACCAUCGAGAAGGCCAUCCUCGUCGCCGCCGCCGACGAGCCGCAGGAGUUCCUGCGCCGCCGCGACCGCAUAGCCGAGCGCCUCUUCAACGCGCUCCUCGCCCGCCCCUCCUGCCACGGCUGCACCGCCAGCACCGGCUCCGUCCCCCCCGCCACGCCCGCCGUCGCGGAGGACAAGGGCAGCGUGCGCCGCGUCCCCGAGAAGGAGUCCAAGGUCGAUAGCAGCAGCCUCGGCGCGCCCGGGGGUGGGGCGCUCGGCGGCGGCAUCAGCGAGGAUGAAGACUCCGACUCGGAGGACGACGAGCGCCUCCGCCGCGCCGCCGCCAGCAACUACGGCCACAACUAUGAUGACGACAACGACGACGAGGAGGAGGAGGAGGAGCAGGACGCGGCCGCACCGGCGGAGGAGGACCACCACGCUGAAGACGACGACCCGGAGGCUGAGGAGCUGGAGGCCCUCACCAACGAGAUCGAUGAGGAGUCGCAGAUCGUUGGGGAGGUCCUCCGCAUCAAGGAGCUCCUCCUGCACAAGCAAGACCAUUCGGAUGCUACUCUGUUCGACUCACUUAGGAGGCUGCAGCUGAUGCAAUUGUCCGUCUCCACGCUUAGGGCUACUGAGAUUGGGAGGGCUGUUAAUGGCCUUCGGAAGCACAGCUCGCAGCAGAUUCGUCACCUCGCGCUGGCUCUCAUUCAGGAUUGGAAAAUUUUGGUUGAUGAGUGGGUCAGUACUACCAACGUUGCCCUUGCAGACAACUCCCCAGGAACUUCAAACCCUUCUGUUGUGGAUGAUGAUGAUGAAGAAGAAGGCCUUCCUUCUCCACCUUUGGAUGAAGGAGCAUUCUUUGCACCUGAGACUACUGCCAUUCAACUCUCUGAGUUCUUUGACGAAAUGGAUGAAGAUGGAAACUUGAGACACAACAAUGAUGCUCGCAUUGGAAACAAGAGGGAAAACAAUGGCAGGAGGCCUGCAAACCAUUCAACUGUGUCAAAACCAGAACUUACUCGACCUGUUGGAACUGUUGAAAGAGAUCAGUUCCGGAGGCCAGAAUUGACAAGGCAAGAACCACCAAUGAGGCAUACAAACCAGCAAAGACCUCAAGGUUCAAAUUUGCAAGCCAAGCCCCAAGGCAUGCUCAACAAGCAAUCCAGGCCCCUGAGUUCUGAUUCUGGAUCUAUGAGACCAAUGAAGGCAGCUACUCAACAGAAGCCCAUCGGUGAGAUGAAGUACAAACAGACCCAGGAACACUUCGGUGUCGAAAGAAAACCUACAAUGGGUCAUGUGGAUAAAUCAAGGCUUCGUGCACAGCCUUCAUCAGGAGUCAGGUUAGAGUCGGCAAGGCCAAAGACCCAGGAUGGCUUGGAAAGCAACGUAAGGUUGGAAGCAGCCAAGCGUAGGCUCCAGGAACGUUACCAAGAAGCUGAAAAUGCUAAGAAGCAGCGCACGAUACAAGUAAUGGAGCUGGGGGACAUACCAAAGCCUAAGAGUAACACCAGGCAACCUAUGGUGAAGUCAAGGAAUAACAUUAGAAGUAGGGUACUCGGCCGGCGCUGA